UUAAAAGCCUUUGGAAAGAGACAGGAAAUUCCUAAGGGAACAAGAAGUGAGUCCAGGACUUCUGAGGAUACAUAUUCCUGUGGUGGAAUUCCUCUGUCAGGGUGUGAUUGAGGAGAGGGGGAUGUGACUCUCUGGGAGAUGAGAGUGAUCUGAGCUGGACUCUAAGCAAUGAGUUUCCCCAGUAUCCUUCUGUACCCAACCUGGAACAAGUGUUGGAAGAAGGGAAGAGGUGCACUGAGGGCACUGGUCCACCUUUUCAGCAGGUGGACCAGUGCCUAACUUUGCAUGGGGCUGGGUUCCUUAAAGGUCUGAUGGCAAGCCU
Cyanistes caeruleus (blue tit) is the source of this 322-nucleotide non-coding RNA. Lineage: Eukaryota; Metazoa; Chordata; Aves; Passeriformes; Paridae. The record is from RefSeq and is a predicted model, not a curated record.